This 239-nucleotide ribosomal RNA is filed under the name Nephroselmis pyriformis. RNAcentral's name for it is "partial Bacterial small subunit ribosomal RNA". It matches the Rfam family "Bacterial small subunit ribosomal RNA", at positions 109 to 365 of the family's 1533-position model. The record is from RNAcentral. Lineage: Eukaryota; Viridiplantae; Chlorophyta; Nephroselmidophyceae; Nephroselmidales; Nephroselmidaceae.
AGUAACGCGUGGGAACAUACCCUUUUCUACGGAAUAGCCUCGGGAAACUGAGAGUAAUACCGUAUAAGCCCUUCGGGGGAAAGAUUUAUCGGGAAAGGAUUGGCCCGCGUUAGAUUAGAUAGUUGGUGGGGUAAUGGCCUACCAAGUCUACGAUCUAUAGCUGGUUUUAGAGGAUGAUCAGCAACACUGGGACUGAGACACGGCCCAGACUCCUACGGGAGGCAGCAGUGGGGAAUCUU